GACGAACGCUGGCGGCGUGCUUAACACAUGCAAGUCGAACGAAGCUUGAUUACGGAUUCUUCGGAUGAAGUAUGAUAUGACUGAGUGGCGGACGGGUGAGUAACGCGUGAGUAACCUGCCCUUCAGAGGGGGAUAGCGUUUGGAAACGAACGGUAAUACCGCAUAAUGUAUUUUGACCGCAUGAUCGAAAUACCAAAGAUUUAUCGCUGAAGGAUGGACUCGCGUCUGAUUAGGUAGUUGGUGGGGUAACGGCCUACCAAGCCGACGAUCAGUAGCCGGACUGAGAGGUUGCUCGGCCACAUUGGGACUGAGACACGGCCCAGACUCCUACGGGAGGCAGCAGUGGGGAAUAUUGCACAAUGGGCGCAAGCCUGAUGCAGCAACGCCGCGUGAAGGAAGACGGUUUUCGGAUUGUAAACUUCUGUUCUUAGUGAAGAAUAAUGACGGUAGCUAAGGAGCAAGCCACGGCUAACUACGUG
Molecule: ribosomal RNA, 479 nt
Filed under: uncultured bacterium
Lineage: Bacteria
Description: partial 16S ribosomal RNA
Rfam family: Bacterial small subunit ribosomal RNA
Source: RNAcentral